Molecule: non-coding RNA, 299 nt
Organism: Nylanderia fulva
Lineage: Eukaryota; Metazoa; Arthropoda; Insecta; Hymenoptera; Formicidae
Source: RefSeq, a predicted model, not a curated record
CAAUGUUAACUUAGGUAUUAAAGCAGCCACAAUGCAAGGAUUGCCUUAUGGACACAUCUUGAACUUCAAUGUAUACUAGAUUAUCAUCGGAGGAUGGGGAAACACUAUGUCAGCAAUAAAAAGAAAUAAUACCAAACCAGAUGUAGCAGAAGCAGAUACACUAGAGAUAUAUUAAUUGAAUCCUGAUGAGAUGUGUGAUAUUUUUAUAGUAAUACAUCAGAAUCGCUGUCACAAACUUUAGGUGGCUUGUACCAAUCGUACAUCAUUCUGGGACAGUAGGUUCUCAAAGGUGGACAAUG